GACGAACGCUGGCGGCGUGCCUAAUACAUGCAAGUAGAACGCUGAAGCUUGGUGCUUGCCCCGAGCGGAUGAGUUGCGAACGGGUGAGUAACGCGUAGGUAACCUGCCUGGUAGCGGGGGAUAACUAUUGGAAACGAUAGCUAAUACCGCAUAAGAGUAGAUGUUGCAUGACAUUUGCUUAAAAGGUGCAAUUGCAUCACUACCAGAUGGACCUGCGUUGUAUUAGCUAGUUGGUGAGGUAACGGCUCACCAAGGCAACGAUACAUAGCCGACCUGAGAGGGUGAUCGGCCACACUGGGACUGAGACACGGCCCAGACUCCUACGGGAGGCAGCAGUAGGGAAUCUUCGGCAAUGGACGGAAGUCUGACCGAGCAACGCCGCGUGAGUGAAGAAGGUUUUCGGAUCGUAAAGCCCUGUUGUAAGAGAAGAACGAGUGUGAGAGUGGAAAGUUCACACUGUGACGGUAUCUUACCAGAAAGGGACGGCUAACUACGUG
This 497-nucleotide ribosomal RNA is filed under the name uncultured bacterium. RNAcentral's name for it is "partial 16S ribosomal RNA". It matches the Rfam family "Bacterial small subunit ribosomal RNA", at positions 28 to 507 of the family's 1533-position model. The record is from RNAcentral.